RNAcentral lists this ribosomal RNA (1290 nucleotides) under Bisbaumannia salifodinae. RNAcentral describes it as "bacterial SSU rRNA". It matches the Rfam family "Bacterial small subunit ribosomal RNA", at positions 118 to 1404 of the family's 1533-position model. The record is from RNAcentral. Lineage: Bacteria; Pseudomonadati; Pseudomonadota; Gammaproteobacteria; Oceanospirillales; Halomonadaceae.
UAGGAAUCUGCCCGAUAGUGGGGGAUAACGUGGGGAAACCCACGCUAAUACCGCAUACGUCCUACGGGAGAAAGCAGGGGAUCUUCGGACCUUGCGCUAUCGGAUGAGCCUAUGUCGGAUUAGCUAGUUGGUGAGGUAAUGGCUCACCAAGGCGACGAUCCGUAGCUGGUCUGAGAGGAUGAUCAGCCACACUGGGACUGAGACACGGCCCAGACUCCUACGGGAGGCAGCAGUGGGGAAUAUUGGACAAUGGGGGAAACCCUGAUCCAGCCAUGCCGCGUGUGUGAAGAAGGCCUUCGGGUUGUAAAGCACUUUCAGCGAGGAAGAAGGCCUGAGGGUUAAUACCCUUCAGGAAGGACAUCACUCGCAGAAGAAGCACCGGCUAACUCCGUGCCAGCAGCCGCGGUAAUACGGAGGGUGCGAGCGUUAAUCGGAAUUACUGGGCGUAAAGCGCGCGUAGGUGGCUUGAUAAGCCGGUUGUGAAAGCCCCGGGCUCAACCUGGGAACGGCAUCCGGAACUGUCAGGCUAGAGUGCAAGAGAGGAAGGUAGAAUUCCCGGUGUAGCGGUGAAAUGCGUAGAGAUCGGGAGGAAUACCAGUGGCGAAGGCGGCCUUCUGGACUGACACUGACACUGAGGUGCGAAAGCGUGGGUAGCAAACAGGAUUAGAUACCCUGGUAGUCCACGCCGUAAACGAUGUCGACUAGCCGUUGGGUUCCUUGAGAACUUUGUGGCGCAGUUAACGCGAUAAGUCGACCGCCUGGGGAGUACGGCCGCAAGGUUAAAACUCAAAUGAAUUGACGGGGGCCCGCACAAGCGGUGGAGCAUGUGGUUUAAUUCGAUGCAACGCGAAGAACCUUACCUACCCUUGACAUCGUGCGAACUUGGUAGAGAUACCUUGGUGCCUUCGGGAACGCACAGACAGGUGCUGCAUGGCUGUCGUCAGCUCGUGUUGUGAAAUGUUGGGUUAAGUCCCGUAACGAGCGCAACCCUUGUCCCUAUUUGCCAGCGAUUCGGUCGGGAACUCUAGGGAGACUGCCGGUGACAAACCGGAGGAAGGUGGGGACGACGUCAAGUCAUCAUGGCCCUUACGGGUAGGGCUACACACGUGCUACAAUGGUCGGUACAAAGGGUUGCAAUGCCGCGAGGUGGAGCUAAUCCCAUAAAGCCGAUCUCAGUCCGGAUCGGAGUCUGCAACUCGACUCCGUGAAGUCGGAAUCGCUAGUAAUCGUGAAUCAGAAUGUCACGGUGAAUACGUUCCCGGGUCCUUGUACACACCGCCCGUCACACCA